AAAAAUAAACAAAAAGUAGAAGUACCUAAGUUCCCAAUAGUCCAAUCCAUCAGGAAAAUACAAACUUGCACAUGUUUGAGUAAAAGGACCAUAAGAAAGAAGCAGGGGAUGCAAAAUUUUGAGAAUGGGUCUAAUAAUACUCAUCAAGUACAGAUAAUCAAAGUUAAAAGGAGGUAAUAAAGGUAUUGAAAAAAGAAGAAUAUAUUCUACAAGUGAAUGAAACAAAAUAUGGUGAAACUGGAAUGGAAACACUUCAGGAGGCCAGAGGAAGAGGGACAAUACUAUAGCAAAUAAAUUGAUAAUGCUUGUGCUCUCCUCUGUUCUUUCCCAAGUUGAUCCUACAAACAAAAGCACAGACAAAACUUAAAAAACGAUGCCAAUCAAUGAAAGCUAAAUUAUACCCAUCCUGAAUCUUUUAUAAAACAAGGCACCAAGAAAAUUUCAACAGCAAAUAUUUCAUACGAUAAAGAAAACGAUGAAAUAAAUUUCAACAUAGGCUUGUUUUAGACAUUAACAUCUUACUUUGAAAUUUCUCCCAUGGUUCGUUGACAGUCAUUGUAGAGUAAACAUUAGGUGGACAACUCUUUGACUACGCCAUUAGACAACUACAAAAGCUUACUUUCCAUAAGCUUGUAACUUACAAAUUCCAAACUACAUGUAUCAUUUGUGUGCCCUCAGCUUUCAUUCUGUAGGUUGGGAUGAAGAAUGAUCUCAAAGCUUGGAUAUCCGAGUGCAGAAUUUGUCAACAGAACAAAUAUGAAACUAUCUCACCACCUGGGUUAUUACAACCCCUUCCAAUACCACAGCAAGCAUGGACAGAUAUAAGCAUGGAUUUCAUUUGUGGCAUUCCCUCAUGGAAAGGGAAAUCUGUAAUUUUGGUGGUAGUGGAUAGGCUAUCAAAGUAUGCACACUUUAUAGCUUUGGGACAUCCUUACACUGCUAGCAUGGUAGCCCAAGAAUUUGUGGAAAAUAUCUUUAAGCUACAUGGCAUGCCUCAGACCAUUGUUAGUGACAGGGACACUAUUUUUCUCAGUGCUUUCUGGAAGGAGUAUUUUAACCUGCAAGGUUCAAAAUUGUGCUUGAGCUCAGGGUACCAUCCUCAAAGUGAUGGCCAAACAGAAGUUGUCAACAGGUGCCUAGAGACUUGUCUGUAGUGCUUUACUAGUUCUUAACCCAAGAAGUGGCUCCAAUGGCUCAUAUGGGCUGAAUUGAGCUAUAACACCUCCUUUCACAUUGCCUCCAAGUUCACUCCCUUUGAAAUCGUGUAUGGUUUCCCUCCUCCACACAUUUCUUUUUAUGAAAUUGGUACGGAAAAACUGGAGAGUGUGGAACAAGGCAUGAUUGCUCAGGAUAAAAUGUUGAAAAUGCUUAGAACUAACUUGGCCAUCGCGUAGAAUAGGAUGAAGGUGCAAGCAGACAAACACAGGAGUGAGAGAACCUUUGAGGUGGGAGAUUUGGUUUAUUUGAAGCUCAUUCCCUAUCAACUACAAUCACUAGCAACUCAUGCACAUCAUAAACUGCACCCUAAGUUCUAUGGGCCUUUUGAGGUGUUGGAGAAGGUUGGUGAGGUGGCCUACAAGUUAAAGCUUCCUAAGGCCUCCAAGAUACACCCAGUUUUCCAUGUUAGUUGCUUAAAGAAACACAUUGGUCCUUGGUCCUGAUGUUAAUCCGGUCUCAUUGUUGCCAUUGGUGACUGAUGAUGGUUUACAGGUCCAAGAACCUAUGGCAGUGCUGCAAAGAAGGAUGUAUAAGAAGAAUAAUGCGGCUGGGGUGCAAUUGCUGAUUCAUUGGAAGGACAAGGAUGUUGAAGAAUCAACUUGGGGAGGACUAUGAUGAAUUCACUGCAAGAUUUUCAUAUUUUAAGUUUUAGUUGCAACCUUGAGGACAAGGUUUAAGUGAAGGAUGGGGCAAUGUUAUAGCUAUGAUUAUCUUAUUAAUCACAAGCUUAGUUUUUAAAUAAGUAUUUUGGAUUUGGAUUAGUCAUGCCAGCUGGCUUUGUAGUGUUUGGGGGAAACAAUAUAUGUAACAAACCAAUUAAAAAAAAAUACCUGAAGCUCGGUGAGAUUCAAGCUUCGAACUGAAAAAUGAAAACAUUUGGCGGUCAACACCCAAUCACUAAUUAACUAAGUGGUGACCUGCUGACCAUGAACACGUGAAUAAAAUUGUAAAGGUUAAUUAUACGGAAUCUUAUUACCGCAAAAAAAAAUAAAAAACUAAUUGAAAAUUAGGGGGUGGGUUCAAAACGAAAACGAAAACCGAAAACGAACGAAACGAAAUCGAAAAAACCGAAAACCGAUCAAAUUGAAAAAAUCGAAAAACGAAAAAACCGAACAAAUUAAAUUCGAACCGAAUUAAAAAUUAAUUUAUUAAUAUUUUUUUUUUUUUUAUAUUUAUUAUUUUUUUAUUUUUUGGGUUAUUUUUUUAAACCCAAUUUGUAAGCCCAAUGUGUUGCCCAAAAUCAGAAAUUCCAAAUGCAUCGCUUCUUUUCCUAUAACUACAAGGAAGAAGUCGUAUAAAAAAGCAAGACCUAAAAUAGUGAUAACAAAAUGGUGCUAAAUCCUGACACAGUACUGUUAGUUCCUGAUUCUUGUUUAAUAUGGCUUCUUGCUUCAAGUAUUUGUAUGCUUAUUCAAUACUUCAUUGCUUAUUGUUAUAUGCAGUGAUCAGGUAUUGGUUUUGAUCAAGUGUUUUCCCAUUUGAUAUUACUUCUGCCGACUAAAUAGUAAAUUACAUUACUAAAUGACCGAUAAUACAUACAAAGAGAGCAUAAUCGAUAUAUGACCCUCGUUGGUUCAAAGUGGGUUAUAGUAUGAUAAUGCUCUCAUGUACGUACUAUCGUGAUAAAAUAAUCAGCACAUGUUCACCAACAUACACCAGCUCUUUAUAUUAUUCAUGGUUAAGAGUUCAGGUGUGAAGAAAAUGGUAGAAAAUUUUACUUUUCUAAAAAGAAAUCUAUUUACAAUUAAACUUUAAACACAAAAUGUUAAAAAAAAUCUUUAUGUUAUAAUUCUAGUUGAACUUUAAAUAUUUAUUUUCAUUUUCUUUGAUUCUAGUUGGAAUAUUUAUGUUAUGAUUAUGUUGGAGAUGUUAAAAUUUAAGACUUCAAUUUUUUUCAUUUUUUGAAAACAAAAAAAAAAAAAACCGAAACCGAACCGGAAAAAACUGAAAAAAAGAACCGAACCGAAAUUUCGGUGAUUUCGGUUUUGGAAAAAAACCAAACCGAUUUGAACCGAACCCAACCCUAAUUGAAAUUAUGUGUUGCGCACAAUGAUAUCGAAGAAGAAUAAUUUCUAUUUAAUUGAAAUUAAAUUCGAAUAAAUGAUUCAUAAAAUUACAGAUUUUCAAUCAAAUGCGGAAUAUACACAACAAUUUUAUUUCUGAUUUGAAUAUAACCAACUACAUCCCAAGUUGCAUCAGUAUCAAUGGAUCAACAUUGCAUCAGUAUCAAUGGAUCCAAUCAUGUGUCCCCUCAAGCCCAAAUAUUCAUAUCUGCAAACCCUCGUCUAAAGAAAAAUUCGUCCAGAAAUUAAUCACCGAGUAUGCAAGGUUGGCAUGCAUAUUCACGUUUAAUCGUGGCCAUGAUGAUAGGAAUUAAAAAAAAACACGAAAAUAGGAAUGAUGUACCUUUACUUAGAUUUCAGGGUUCUAAAACCUGUUGCUGAGAUUUGAGAAACAUAGGAAAUGUGUUUCAUGAUUUCAAAUUAGAUUUGCAUAAGAGUUUAGAAACGCAUACAUCCCUUCUUUUCAUUCCUCCAAACGCUAAACGCUAAACCCUAAAGCCUAGGCUUUCAACACCAAAACACCCAAAUAGUACCAGAACUUUGCAAUGUGCGGGGAAUAUACUAAAAAAACUUAAACCACAAUCAAGCAUCAUCUAUCUAAACAAAAUCAGAACCCAAACCACAUACAAAAUCUCUAAAUAUAUAAUAAUAAUAAUAAUAAUAAUAAUAAUAAUAAUAAUAAUAAUAAUAAUAAUUCUAGUAGAAAUUCCAAUCCAUUACAACAGCACACAGAAUACCAGGUAUUGCUGGAUGUAGAUAUCCAAAACAGCGGCACCCAUCAAUUGAUCUAAUUACGUAUCCAUUCCCUAUCCAUGGCAUACAAAAUAUGUACUCCCUUCUGUUUACAUGUUAUAAAACAUUUAGUAGACCAACAAUCAAAAUUAACAACCCUAAUUGUUGUAUACACAAAGAUCUCCAACUGAAAAUGUUUAAUUAAAUUUUCCAACUUAAAACCCUAAAUUAAAUCCUACAAAUUGAAAUAGCAGAAACAGAAUUAGAGAGAAGGAAGAAAUCAUUGACCUUGGAGUUGUUGAGAGCUCUGAUGGGUGUUUCUUUUCAUCCAGCCCUAAAAACAGAACCCACAAUUGUAAUAUAAGAUCCAAUCAUAGGUCACGAAUCAAAUUAACCCGGCCUGUGUAUAGAAAAAUUGAACAAAUUUAGACAUUUAUAUGUAUGUAUAUUCCAGUAAAAAAGAAUGAAAUGCACUGAACCCUAAAUUGCAAAACUACGUCAGACUGAUUGAAGAAGAGAAACAAAGAGGGAGAGGGAGUGGGACGGAGAGAAAGCCCUAAAAACAGAACCCUCUGGCAACCUAAUACAAAAUCAAGCCAACAAAUUCCAUUUCAAUUUUGACAAAACAAAUCGAAAAAGAAUAAUGAAAACCUGAAUGAAUUACAGAGGAACUGAUGGGUUUAUGCAUCAGCAACGUGAUAAAACCCAGAAACACAAAACCUAAUAUGUAUCAGCUACAAAAACCCAAAUAAAUAAAUAAAACACUCAAAUUUCUAUGUAAAAGCGAACAUAUUUUGACCCCAAAACGAAGAUGUCAUAGAUGGAGGAAGAGAGAAGCGACAGAGAGGGAGAGAUACUAACUCAACCCCACCAUCUCUCUGCAGCCAAGACACUUAUUCCCUCAACCCUACCCUCAAAUCUUGUACCCAAUCAACUCUCUUUUUGUCCCCCUAAUCGUGCACCCGCCGUCACCUUCUCUCUGCAACCAACCCCCUCUCCUCUCUUCCCCAUAUCACACCCCCACCCUGUGAGGGCACUGACAGCAGACCACCUGAUAAGAUCCAAUUCUCAAUUCCCUUAAUCAACCUGCAAGUAGCACAAGGAAGCUAUGGAAGAAGAGGGAAGGAGAGAUGAAGGAGCAGAGCUCCAACUAUUUUUGUAUUUAAUUUCUUUCUUUGUAAAUUAUGUUCUGCCAGAAUGAGCUGGGCUCCUUUUAUACACUCUAUUUCUUAAAAUGCCAGCUGGCAUAUUUAACAAUUCUUAACAAUUCAAUUAAAGCAUAAACCUCAAUUACAUUUUGGGUUCAUAACAAUAUUCCCCCCUUGAAAAUUAGCCUUGUCCUCAAGGCUUAAAAAUGGAAUUGUGGAAGUCCUCCCAAUUAGCUGCUAUCCUCAAAGCAACAAGAAGUUGAAUCUGCAUAAGGCACUCAUUGGCAGAUUCCUCCCAACCUUCUUCAAGUCAAGCUCCUGAACUUCCUUAAUCAACUUAAGGCAAAUCCCAAUAGAUAGGGAGAAGAUUGAUAAAUUCUCUUUCUGAAAAACUAGCAUCUUCACUAUGCAAACAGAGAGACCUACAAGCUGCCAACCUUACAAAUAGGUCCUUGUCCUGUACCAAUUUGAUCAAAGCACAGUAAACUGGCAUUUUUGUGUCCUUUUUAAUAUCAGAAACCCAUUGUCCCAAUAUCAGUGCAACCUCCCAGGGGGUGAUACGCAUAUUUAGAUGAUCAAUAUGAACCAAGAAUUCUAAGCAUGGUAGUGAACCAACCAAAACAGAUGACUGCAAAGGUGUAAUACUGUCAUUAUCUUCAGCAACAAGAUUAGCAUUGUUUUGUAACAGAACUUCCACUGCAUCUUAGUGACCAUGACCAACAUCCUAAAUUAAGGGACUUCCAGCAUCUCGUGGUGAAUUAACAUAAGCAUCUUGGGGUUCAAACACCUCAGUCCUUUUGUCAACCAACUCUGCCAAUUCUAUGUUCCCAUAAAUCCUACAUGUAAAAAGCAGAGAUCCCCAUAUAACCACAUCAGGUUGAGUAGGAAUAUCUCUGAUGAACUUUUCAGCCACAUUUAACAGAUUAGCAUGGCUAAGAAGAUCCACAAUGCAUCCAUAGUGUUCAAUACGAGGAUUGAGCUUAUGAUUUUCAAGAUCCAUGCUAUGUAUCCAUUUAUCAAUGAAUCGGAGCAACCAUGACAACCCUCAAAGAAAUGAUUCAGUAAUGCAUUCCCUCUGUAACAAGCUAUGAAUGUGUCCUGCAUAAAGCGCACCUGAAAUAGCUCUAUGUAGUAAUAAUCGAACCGGUUGUGCUUGAGAAAUCUGAGCCGUUGCUUUUAUCUCCUCUGUCUCCCUUAAUUGUUUUUUUUUUUUGAAAGCAUGUCAACAAAACUUUGACAGCAAGAUUUUAACCAUAUUUUUCUGACCUCAUCACCAGUAUUGCAUAGCAAUCUUAUUCAGAGGACCAUCCCAGCAUAAGAAUCACUAUCAAUUGGAUAUGGAAGAACUGGAGAUUGUCCUAAUUGCAACAUAGAGACAACAAUCAACAGUGCUUGUGAAAAUGCUUUAUUCACUUCAACUUUUGAUGGUUGGACCCCUUCCAAUCUCAGGGCAAGCUUGGUCAUAGUGUAUGCAACAACUGUCCCAAGGAAAAAGUCACCAGUGAGAAGCAAGGAUCUCAAGUUCCCAGAUGCCACGGAUCCUUGAAAAAUGGUAGGAGGAGAGAAAACAAUUCCAGAUGCAGCAUGAUGUGUGGCAUAAGUUCCAUCAGCAAGAAUAGUAGGUCUUUUAAAAGGCACGGUCAUGGAGUUUACUUGCUGAACCUUUUGUGAAGAAUCAUUACUUUCUUCUUCUGAAACCGAGAGAAAAGGCAAUUCACUUAGGCACCGUUUAAUUGAUGCAGUUCUACCCUUAAAUUCAGGAAGUGACGUGCAACAUGCUCCAAAAAUCCAAAGGCCGGAAGAACAAACCUGUGAUGCUCAGAUUUGGUAGAAAGUGUCUAAUAGCUUUGUUAUUAUAGGUACAUGUCACAUUUGAGGGAGUUGGGCUCCUUUUAUACACUCUACUUCUUAAAAUGCCAGCUAGCAUAUUUAACAAUUCUUAACAAUUCAAUUAAAGCAUAAACCUCAAUUACAUUUUGAGUUCAUAACACCACCUCCCUAGAAACCGGCCCUAAAAACCCAUACCUCCCUGAAACCCUUUCUCUCGGACAUCCCAUACCACAGAAAAUGCAUCUGAACUUUAGUUUAUAAAAUCGCAGGCCGCCUUCUCUCUUCCUACCUUUUAACAAUUCACCAGUAAGAUUAUAUCAAUAAAAACUUAUAUUAGCAAAUCCAGUGAAGAAUGAUGUGAAACUGAAGCUGUAAUGAAAGCUUAUUUUGAGAGAGAAUGAAAAGCCAUCUUUCUACAGCUUGAAACCAAAAUUUAAGUGAAUGGCCUUGUAACUAAGGUUAUUGAACAUGAUUAACUAUCCGCAAUAUGACAACUAUCCGCAACCCUCAACCUUGUAACCUGAAUCAAGCUGGUUUCACACAUACCAAUAGAAAACCAGAAUAUCAAUGUUUGGGGAAGUUACCUUAUUUGAAAUACCACUAAAAACAGAGUAUACUUUUAGGCAAAUAUUGUUUAAACACCCAACCAUAAUUCAUGAUAUGUGCCAAAAAGAAAAUACCUCUCAAUUAGAUCUCUUUUGUUCACGAACUUUCUCCCUGACAAACUCCUGAGUUAGAACCAAAAAAGAAAAUAAGUCAAAACGGAUGCAAGUAGAGGGGAAUGAGGCAGAGAAAAGUAGGAAUUUAUGAGUACACCACUCCUAUUUUAGGAUCCCAACUUAUAAGGAUGCUAACUUCAUCAUAUAGGACUACCGUGAAACUCAUUUCUUUAAAAAGGUCGUACCCAGUGCACAAGGCUCCCGCUUUACGCAGGGUCUGGGAGAGGUAAAUGUCGGCUAGCCUUACCCCCAUUUAUGGAGAGGUUGCUCCCAAGUCUCGAACCCGAGACCUACCGCUCAUGGGCGAAGGCACUUGCCAUCGCACCAAAUGCGACCUCUGUUAAACUCAUUUCUUUCCGAAAUUAAAUUAAGAAAAAAGUUCGACACUGGCAUGCCACAACACAAUGUUACAAAAAGUAAUCUUACCAUCACAACCAAAUUGACGCAAACUUCUAACAGUCCUUUUGAAAGCAAAAAUCAAGCAAUUAAUCAAAUACUCAUUUUCCGAAAAAGAAAAAACCCAACAAAAAUAUAUAAAAAGUAAAAGUACCUAAGUUCCCAAUAGUCCAAUCCAUCAGAAAAAUACAAACUUGCACAUGUUUGAGUAUAAGGACCAUAAGAAAGAAGCAGGGGAUGCAAAAUUUUGAGAAUGGGUCUAAUAAUACUCAUCAAGUAAAGAUAAUCAAAGUUAAAAGGAGGUAAUAAAGGUAUAGAAAAAAGAAGAAUAUAUUCUACAAAUGAAUGAAACAAAAGAUGGUGACACUGGAAUGGAAACACUUCAGGAGGCCAGAGGAAGAGGGACAAUACUAUAGCAAAUAAAUUGAUAAUGCUUGUGCCCUCCUCUGUUCUUUCCC
Molecule: long non-coding RNA, 8564 nt
Filed under: Malus domestica (apple)
Lineage: Eukaryota; Viridiplantae; Streptophyta; Magnoliopsida; Rosales; Rosaceae
Description: long non-coding RNA (MDOM_LNC010063)
Source: RNAcentral